Molecule: ribosomal RNA, 253 nt
Filed under: uncultured bacterium
Lineage: Bacteria
Description: partial 16S ribosomal RNA
Rfam family: Bacterial small subunit ribosomal RNA
Source: RNAcentral
UACGAAGGGGGCUAGCGUUGCCCGGAAUCACUGGGCGUAAAGCGCACGUAGGCGGAUCGAUCAGUCAGGGGUGAAAUCCCAGAGCUCAACUCUGGAACUGCCUUUGAUACUGUCGAUCUAGAGUAUGGAAGAGGUGAGUGGAAUUCCGAGUGUAGAGGUGAAAUUCGUAGAUAUUCGGAGGAACACCAGUGGCGAAGGCGGCUCACUGGUCCAUUACUGACGCUGAGGUGCGAAAGCGUGGGGAGCAAACAGG